Sapajus apella (tufted capuchin) is the source of this 1600-nucleotide long non-coding RNA. RefSeq lists it as uncharacterized. The transcript is spliced from 2 exons. The record is from RefSeq and is a predicted model, not a curated record. NCBI's taxonomy places the organism in Eukaryota, Metazoa, Chordata, Mammalia, Primates, Cebidae.
AGUUGCUGUUGGCAGGCUCCUGGAAGCCUCCUUCUGGGCCAGAUCCUGUCUCCUCACCUCAAUUCUUCCCAACUCUCAUGUUCCCAGGUUAGCCCCAUGGCCCACGUGGCUAAGCCCCUCCUGUUUGCUCAUCAGUGCUCAACUCAUCCUACAAAGCCCAGCUGAGAUGCUACCUGCUCCUGACAGCCUUCUUGUAGUGGCCUCUUUGGAGUUAACCUCUCCUUUAUGUUUCCCUGGAGAUGUGUCUGCAAAAUGCUGCUAUGACAACCAGCUUCAAAUGGAGAAAUCAGGUUGCAGGAAUGAAUUGGAGAUGGUAAAUAUGGGGGAUUUUAUUGCCAAUGGAAGUGACUCUCAGGGGGAAAGGGAGCUAAAAGGAAAAUGGAGCGGGAAGGUAAGCUUCCCCUGGAGCCCAGCUGGGGACUCUCUGAAGCUACAUCAUCAAGCUGUCCCUCUGAAGUCAAGCUGCUUUUCUCCAAUAUCCAGCUGUAGUAUCCUAUGUCCAGCUGCUUCUCCUCUCUGCAGGAUGAGUUCUGGGCUUUUUACAGGCAAAGGAUAGCGGGUGGGGCGGGCCAUGGGUUGUCUUGGAAAAGGCAACAUUUGGGUGGGGAAACAGGGAUGGAAUUUCUCACUUUGGGCCCUGGUAUGAGGCUUUUUGGCUUGAGGGUGGGCCCUUGCCGGGGCCCCACCCUCUUCGGCCCAGAAUUUCCCUGCUUCCUGUCCCUAUCAGUUUGGGCCACCUUAAGGAAGGGUGGGGAGAGGGAGGGAUGUCUGAGGCCUGGCGUGGGGUGAGAACUCAGUGACCCCCUCUGUCUCUUUCUGUCACAGGCCAUGUGGUUUUGCUCUGGAAAUGUGUCUGCUUCCUUCUUCUGACUCUAAGUGCCUGACUGGCCUGAUCUCUACUCAGCACCUCUUGUCUAGAAUUCAAGGCUUUUGUUUGCUUUUUAUUUCCUGCUUCAGUGUUCGCUAGGUUCAACAUGGUCUCUCCACUCAUGAGCUUUCAGCUGGGCAUUGUCAGAGAUUAACAUCUUAUCAUUUUUCAUGGAGCAAAUCAAUGGCCACCCUUCCUGGCUAAGAACCCUGGGUUUCAACUUCUCUCCCAGCAGAGGGGAAAUCCCUGAGCCAAGCCCUGGCGUAGAGGAACUGUCAGAGUCGUUCGAACCAGAGCAACUCCAUCCUGAAUAGGGGCUGAGUAAAUUAAGACUGAGACGUACUGGGCUUGCAUUCCCAGACGAUUAGGCAUUCUAAGUCAUAGAAUGAGAUAGGAGGUCAGCACCAGGUACAGGUCAGGGAGACUUCACUGACAAAACAGGUCACAGUGAAGAAGCCUGCCAAAGCCCACCAACACCAAGAUAGUGACGAGAGUGACCUCUGGUCAUCUUCGCUGCUACACCCCCACCAGUGCCAUGAUGAUUUACGAAUGCCAUGGCAAUGUCAGGUUAUCCUAUAUGGUCCAAAAGGGGAGGGGUGAAUAAUCCACCCCUUGUUUAACAUCAAGAAAUAACCAUAAAAGUGGGCAACCAGCAGUCCUUGAGGCUGCUCUGCCUAUGGAGUGCCCAUUCUUUCAUUCCUUUAGUUUUUUAAUAAACUUGCUUUCACUUUA